Molecule: ribosomal RNA, 730 nt
Filed under: Leuconostoc pseudomesenteroides
Lineage: Bacteria; Bacillati; Bacillota; Bacilli; Lactobacillales; Lactobacillaceae
Also listed under: 1 other name
Description: bacterial SSU rRNA
Rfam family: Bacterial small subunit ribosomal RNA
Source: RNAcentral
UGCAGUCGACGCACAGCGAAAGGUGCUUGCACCUUUCAAGUGAGUGGCGAACGGGUGAGUAACACGUGGACAACCUGCCUCAAGGCUGGGGAUAACAUUUGGAAACAGAUGCUAAUACCGAAUAAAACUCAGUGUCGCAUGACACAAAGUUAAAAGGCGCUUUGGCGUCACCUAGAGAUGGAUCCGCGGUGCAUUAGUUAGUUGGUGGGGUAAAGGCCUACCAAGACAAUGAUGCAUAGCCGAGUUGAGAGACUGAUCGGCCACAUUGGGACUGAGACACGGCCCAAACUCCUACGGGAGGCUGCAGUAGGGAAUCUUCCACAAUGGGCGAAAGCCUGAUGGAGCAACGCCGCGUGUGUGAUGAAGGCUUUCGGGUCGUAAAGCACUGUUGUAUGGGAAGAACAGCUAGAAUAGGGAAUGAUUUUAGUUUGACGGUACCAUACCAGAAAGGGACGGCUAAAUACGUGCCAGCAGCCGCGGUAAUACGUAUGUCCCGAGCGUUAUCCGGAUUUAUUGGGCGUAAAGCGAGCGCAGACGGUUAAUUAAGUCUGAUGUGAAAGCCCGGAGCUCAACUCCGGAAUGGCAUUGGAAACUGGUUAACUUGAGUGCAGUAGAGGUAAGUGGAACUCCAUGUGUAGCGGUGGAAUGCGUAGAUAUAUGGAAGAACACCAGUGGCGAAGGCGGCUUACUGGACUGUAACUGACGUUGAGGCUCGAAAGUGUGGGUAGCA